RNAcentral lists this transfer RNA (85 nucleotides) under Felis catus (domestic cat). It matches the Rfam family "tRNA". Rfam says of the family: Transfer RNA (tRNA) molecules are approximately 80 nucleotides in length. Their secondary structure includes four short double-helical elements and three loops (D, anti-codon, and T loops). Lineage: Eukaryota; Metazoa; Chordata; Mammalia; Carnivora; Felidae. The record is from Rfam by way of RNAcentral.
GCCUGGGUGGCUCAGCUGGUUGAGCGUCUGACUUUGGCUCAGGUCAUGAUCUUGUAAUUUGUGAGUUUGAGCCCCACAUCGGGCU